Non-coding RNA from Tetranychus urticae (two-spotted spider mite), 2273 nucleotides. NCBI's taxonomy places the organism in Eukaryota, Metazoa, Arthropoda, Arachnida, Trombidiformes, Tetranychidae. The record is from RefSeq and is a predicted model, not a curated record.
AUUCCAACCUUGAUUAUUACUUGAGUAACAGAUCCCACUUUCCCUUGGACAAAAGCAAGCCUUGUAUGUGUGUUCUUUCACUCUUCUCUCUCUUUCUUUAAAUCGCAAUAUUCAGUCACAGAACCACUUCUACGGAAAAAUUAUCCAUCUCUACCAAUAAUAACACUUCGUUCUUUAGAUAAAUCAUCUGUGGGAGAUAAUUGUGUCCACCGAGAUGAAAGAUAUUCAAUUUUUCAACCAACUCAGUGAUAGAGGCUGCCAAUGGCAAGAAUGCACACUUUUGAUGGUUCGUAUUGGCUCAUCAUUUUUCAGAUUCAUCUGCGAUAUGACAAACUAACGCUAUAUUUUUAUCUUUCCGCCUGCUGUAUCAGUUGGUAAUGUUGGACAAUUAGCUGUUGACCUAUAUGUUACAACAUUGAUUUGGGAAAGAAAAGUGAAAUUAGUUGGGCGCAUAUUUUCAACAGCACAUAAAAGCGUUUCUGGUCCUAAUGCUUAUCAAUUUGAUGACGAUAGUCCUAUCAUGACUACUUGUGAAGGUAUGAGCUAUCAUAAAUUCCAGCCUUGCAAAUUUUCUGAAUAUAAUUAAUGGUUAUUAUCCGUUUUUUCAACAGUUUAAGAGUCUGUAGAUCACGAAUUGGUCAUCCUCCAAUUAAGAGCCCCGCCAUAUAAAGUAAGAGUUGGAAGUUUUGGAGAUUACAUUUUUCAUUUUUUAAUUUUAUUUUUUCUCUUUUUUUCACGAUAGGAACGAAGUAAACAAUUCGUCGAAGAGUUGUCUAAAUGGAUUGGGGAAAAAAAUUUAAAUAGGCCAUUUGUUCAUCAUCAAGCUUCCCUCAGUAUCUUUCACCUCAAAUUUUUGACAAAGAAUCUAAGCCUAUUCGAUAUAUUUCUACUAAUACACUUAAAGAAAAUAGUCCUACUAUUUUAUCUGACCAGUUGAAGGUUACAGAAUUAAAAGAAUCUGAAAAUGAUGAAGAGCUGAGCAUUUCUGCUAUAGUCGGCGGUGGCCUUACUAAAACAUUAUAUCAAUAUUGGCAAAAAGAGAAUAUACCAGGACUUUUAUUGGUAAUUUUUUGCUCUGAAGGUGAUAAUAUUCCUGAAGCUAUGGAGAUAUUAGAAACCGCGAAUAAGAUUAUCAAAGUUAAAGAGCCUAUUACCAGCGCAAAGCCUCAAAAUCGUUGGAAAACACCAAUUUCUUGGAUGCAAAUAUUUGGCGGAGCCAUUCCUAAUAACCUUUUUUAAGAAACAUCAUAGCAGCUUCCUAACCAUAACAUCAAAAAAUGUUUAAUGCGCAAGGGAAAUAUUUUUUCCGCACACACGAACUUUCUUAACACCCCGUACGUGAAAAGACUGUACGUCACCAAUCAUUUGUUGGUUUAAAUUUUUAUCGUAGAAUCUUUCGUGUGUAACAUUUUAAAUAAAAUAAUCUAUCUAAAUGAAUGUAUCACUGAAUAACUCAAUUUUAAAUAUUCAAUUGUUUACAGUUGAUUUUAUGAUGAUUAAGGAUUUUACAAAACAAGAUUAAUUAAUUUUCCUGGCUAAAUGUAAACAAGAUAAACUACGCCUACUCAGAGGGACCAUCUCAAAAUUUAGUUUAAAUUACUGGUCUGUGUAUUUACAGCUUAACCGACUGUGUAAUAUCAAUUAUGAUAUUGAAUUGUAUCAAGAUGGAAAUUUUAAUGGUGAAACAAUUUCCAGAUUAAUACUACAAUGUUAAAUAUAUGAAAAAAAACUCAGACUCAAAACUCUUAAUUUAAUUGAAUGGAAAUAAAUGAAUUCAACUCGAGAAUCGUUGUUAGAUUACAAAGUUAGAUUCAACUCUUUCUAAUUCUCUCCAUUACUUCAAUUGUUUAGGACAAGAAAUGAUAUUCAAGAUGCUCAGAUGCAUUUGAGUGAUUAUUAAAAGUAAUAGAGAUGUUUACGACUAAACAUCGGUAUUUAAAAUGAUUAAUUCAAUUAUUUCUCAUGGUUACUUUCAAUCUAUUUUUUUUUCUUUUUUCUCAGUGACCACUAAAAAUCAUCAUCAUAAUCAUCAACAACAUCGUAAGUGAUGAAGCUUGUUAUUCAGUAUGAUCAAAACAUUGAUGGAUCGAUAAAAAAGGUACAAGCAAUGGAAAUCAUGGCUGUUUCUGUUGUACUAAUAUUUUGGUUUCUAAUCAUGUAAAUGAGAAACAAUAAUGGUGCUUACCUACACAGACUGAGGCCUAAAUGAUGUAUAUAAAUGGAGUAUGAAUGAGUUGAACAUUUUUAUCAUCAUUGGACAAAGAAGAGAUCCC